CACCUGUGGAGUUUCAGUUUUACGCUUCGCUGCGUAAACAGCGACUUUAUCCAAGAUGCUUUGAGGAAAAGAGUCAUAUCAACGCAAAACACCGCUGCUGGGAUGUUUUUUUGUUUUUUUUUACCUUUUUGAAGCUACAUUCUGUGAUUACUCAGCGGUAAAACCUGAAGGUUUCCAAACGUUUGACCUACUGGACACCGAACCUUCUGUUUCCUCUGAGGCGUUUGGAUAAAACUUAUAAAGUGGGAAUAACAGCACUUCUUAACCCAGCAACCAGCCCAGGUGGCAUCUCAAAGCAACAAUAUGCUGGAAAUAUGAAAUGUGCGGUGACCACUAAAGCCUCCAACCUUUCCGAGACUGAGCUGCAGAAACUCCAGAAGCAGCAGGGAUCUCCGUCAUGAACUUCCGUGGAUUUAAGACAGAAUAUCCCCGUGGAUGGAAACACUUGUGAUGCUGCUGCAGGACAUCAGCGCCAUGGGAGGAAUGCAUCUGCAGAUUAGAGAGAAUCUACAAACAGGACACUCUGGGACCUGGAAGUUGUAAUGUGGAAAUGAUCAACUGAGGCUGAAUGUUGUCAAGAACGGACCAAAGCCAAAGUCCUUAACCCACAAGCGGUGCCAGUGGAGCUGCACCGUGGCCGGAAGAUCAGCCUGCGGUCGAACAGGGCAGCUUCCAGGUGUGAUACCUGCAGCUGUGUGCCUGUGGGCAGCACGUCUUUGCAAAAGAGUAUCGCUCUCAGUGAAACUUCGCUAAUAAAUAAAGAUGAAGAAAUAUAAAAAAACAAAAAAGACUCUCAGAAUACACACGUGGACAAAAUUGUUGGUACCCC
Amphiprion ocellaris (clown anemonefish) is the source of this 829-nucleotide long non-coding RNA. NCBI's taxonomy places the organism in Eukaryota, Metazoa, Chordata, Actinopteri, Pomacentridae. The record is from Ensembl.